GUUGGGAGGAGCUCCAGAUGUUGCCUUCACUGUUUUAGUGAUCAGAUCAUAACAAACUUGUUGAUAUAUAAGCCAGCUUCAUCUACCUGCUGUUAUCAGGUGUGUCUCACCAGCCACUCAGACCUCUAACCAACCAACCAGCCAACCAACACCACCAUGAAGACCCCUGCCACUCUGACCUCCACCCUGCUGGUCUUCAUCUUGGUGAUCGCCCUCGCUGGACACGGGGUGUCGUCCUCCCCCCUCCCGCAGCCCAACAACCGUCAAGGACGCUUUCUCCAAUUUGGAAUUAUCCCAGCUACAACAACUACAACUACAGUAGCACCAGCCACAGGAACAGUGACUACAACCCAACCUCCAGCUCUCACACUGUUCCAAGUGAAUAACGCUGAUGGAAGUGGCUUCAUAGUCUGUGCCCUUACUGGAACAUGUGGCGGGAAGAAGUAGUCUGUUGUUGGUGAUCUACCUUUUGUUUUGCUGUUGUUGGUGAUCUACCUUUUGUUUUCUGUUGUUGGUGACCUGCCUUUUGUUUUGCUGUUGUUGGUGACCUGCCUUUUGUUUUCUGUUGUUGGUGAUCUACCUUUUGUUUUUCUGUUGUAAUAACGAUUGACUUAACGUUGUUUGCUGUUGUUCCACUGUAGUUUCGAGAUAGAUUCAUAUAAUUCAACUUGAACUCAUCAUUGAUUCACUUUGAAGUCAAAAUUGAUUAGACCUCCAUAAGCCAUUGUUAAUUUACCAAACAGUAAACUAGUCAAAAGUAAACACAAAAUAAAUAAUAAUAAAUAAU
This 787-nucleotide long non-coding RNA is filed under the name Homarus americanus (American lobster). RNAcentral's name for it is "uncharacterized LOC121874946". The record is from RNAcentral. Lineage: Eukaryota; Metazoa; Arthropoda; Malacostraca; Decapoda; Nephropidae.